This 508-nucleotide ribosomal RNA is filed under the name uncultured bacterium. RNAcentral describes it as "partial 16S ribosomal RNA". It matches the Rfam family "Bacterial small subunit ribosomal RNA", at positions 28 to 523 of the family's 1533-position model. The record is from RNAcentral.
GAUGAACGCUAGCUACAGGCUUAACACAUGCAAGUCGAGGGGAAACGAUAUUGGAAGCUUGCUUCCGAUAGGCGUCGACCGGCGCACGGGUGAGUAACGCGUAUCCAACCUGCCCACCACUUGGGGAUAACCCUGCGAAAGUAAGACUAAUACCCAAUGAUGUCCAUAGAAGACAUCUGAAAUGGAUUAAAGAUUUAUCGGUGAUGGAUGGGGAUGCGUCUGAUUAGCUUGUUGGCGGGGUAACGGCCCACCAAGGCGACGAUCAGUAGGGGUUCUGAGAGGAAGGUCCCCCACAUUGGAACUGAGACACGGUCCAAACUCCUACGGGAGGCAGCAGUGAGGAAUAUUGGUCAAUGGGCGAGAGCCUGAACCAGCCAAGUAGCGUGCAGGAUGACGGCCCUAUGGGUUGUAAACUGCUUUUAUAAGGGAAUAAAGUGAGCCUCGUGAGGCUUUUUGCAUGUACCUUAUGAAUAAGGACCGGCUAAUUCCGUGCCAGCCGCCGCGGUAA